GGGUUGUGAGGUUAAGCGACUAAGCGUACACGGUGGAUGCCCUGGCAGUCAGAGGCGAUGAAGGGCGUGCUAAUCUGCGAUAAGCGCCGGUAAGGUGAUAUGAACCGUUAUAACCGGCGAUACCCGAAUGGGGAAACCCAGUGUGACUCGUCACACUAUCAUUAACUGAAUCCAUAGGUUAAUGAGGCGAACCGGGGGAACUGAAACAUCUAAGUACCCCGAGGAAAAGAAAUCAACCGAGAUUCCCCCAGUAGCGGCGAGCGAACGGGGAGGAGCCCAGAGCCUGAAUCAGCAUGUGUGUUAGUGGAAGCGUCUGGAAAGGCGCGCGAUACAGGGUGACAGCCCCGUACACAAAAGCGCAUGUGCUGUGAGCUCGAUGAGUAGGGCGGGACACGUGGUAUCCUGUCUGAAUAUGGGGGGACCAUCCUCCAAGGCUAAAUACUCCUGACUGACCGAUAGUGAACCAGUACCGUGAGGGAAAGGCGAAAAGAACCCCGGCGAGGGGAGUGAAAAAGAACCUGAAACCGUGUACGUACAAGCAGUGGGAGCCCCACCACCAAAGCAUUUGCUGUACCGCGUUGACGGAGCGAAGCGACGUCAAACCGAUAAAACAGCAGUGUAAAGUGAGCCGCAGGGCGCUUUGCGCGACAGCGCAAAGGCAGGCGGUUUCGCGUAGCGAAAGCGAAUGCUUUGGGGUGGGGUGACUGCGUACCUUUUGUAUAAUGGGUCAGCGACUUAUAUUCUGUAGCAAGGUUAACCGAAUAGGGGAGCCGGAGGGAAACCGAGUCUUAAUUGGGCGUUAAGUUGCAGGGUAUAGACCCGAAACCCGGUGAUCUAGCCAUGGGCAGGUUGAAGGUUGGGUAACACUAACUGGAGGACCGAACCGACUAAUGUUGAAAAAUUAGCGGAUGACCUGUGGCUGGGGGUGAAAGGCCAAUCAAACCGGGAGAUAGCUGGUUCUCCCCGAAAGCUAUUUAGGUAGCGCCUCGUGAAUUCAUCUCCGGGGGUAGAGCACUGUUUCGGCUAGGGGGCCAUCCCGGCUUA
Molecule: ribosomal RNA, 1044 nt
Filed under: Salmonella enterica subsp. enterica serovar Enteritidis
Lineage: Bacteria; Pseudomonadati; Pseudomonadota; Gammaproteobacteria; Enterobacterales; Enterobacteriaceae
Description: partial 23S ribosomal RNA
Rfam family: Bacterial large subunit ribosomal RNA
Source: RNAcentral